UAGCCGUAAACGAUACUCGCUAGGUGUCGGCCACGGUGCGACCGUUGUCGGUGCCGUAGGGAAGCCGUGAAGCGAGCCACCUGGGAAGUACGGCCGCAAGGCUGAACUUAAGGAAUUGGCGGGGGAGCACCACAACGGGUGGAGCCUGCGGUUUAAUCGGACUCAACGCCGGGAAUCUCACCGGAUAAGACAGCUGAAUGAUAGUCGGGAUGAAGACUCUACUUGACUAGCUGAGAGGAGGUGCAUGGCGUAGUCGUGU
RNAcentral lists this ribosomal RNA (259 nucleotides) under uncultured archaeon. RNAcentral's name for it is "partial 16S ribosomal RNA". It matches the Rfam family "Archaeal small subunit ribosomal RNA", at positions 748 to 1009 of the family's 1478-position model. The record is from RNAcentral.